Molecule: ribosomal RNA, 440 nt
Filed under: uncultured bacterium
Lineage: Bacteria
Description: bacterial SSU rRNA
Rfam family: Bacterial small subunit ribosomal RNA
Source: RNAcentral
UGGGGAAUAUUGCACAAUGGGCGCAAGCCUGAUGCAGCGACGCCGCGUGCGGGAUGGAGGCCUUCGGGUUGUAAACCGCUUUUGUUCAAGGGCAAGGCACGGCUUCGGGCCGUGUUGAGUGGAUUGUUCGAAUAAGCACCGGCUAACUACGUGCCAGCAGCCGCGGUAAUACGUAGGGUGCGAGCGUUAUCCGGAUUUAUUGGGCGUAAAGGGCUCGUAGGCGGUUCGUCGCGUCCGGUGUGAAAGUCCAUCGCCUAACGGUGGAUCUGCGCCGGGUACGGGCGGGCUGGAGUGCGGUAGGGGAGACUGGAAUUCCCGGUGUAACGGUGGAAUGUGUAGAUAUCGGGAAGAACACCAAUGGCGAAGGCAUGUCUCUGGGCCGUUACUGACGCUGAGGGGACGCAAGCAGUGGCAGCGGGAAGCAGGAAUAGGAUUACCAC